AUUCAAAAAACAAUUAUUUUAAUUUUCUAUUUAUAAACUACUCAAAGUUAUGGAAUUAAAAACCAAUUGUUAACGAAAAAGCCAGGAAACUCAGUAAAAAUAAUAGCAUAAGAAAUUCUUGCCAAAUAUCGUAAUUUUAUAUAAAUUGGCUUAUUUUAUAUUCAAAUACCCUGAAUACUAAAAGGUACCACCUAGUAGGAAAUGGUAAAAGUUUGCUCAGCGCGUUCGGAAAGGGCUAGAAUUAUGAAAAUUUGCGCAAAUUAAAGAGCGUCUCAAAAAAUAAGGUUUGGAAAAAAAAAUUGGCGAAUUCGUACCGGAGAAAUAGUGCGUUUAGUACCGCAAUUGGCAUUGUUUGGUACUUCCUUUACGGAUUGGCCCCCUUAAUGGUUGACUAUAUCAGUUUUUGGAUAUUUGAAGAUUAAAGCAUCGAAAAGUACAAAAAAUGUACGAAGUAGGUGAGCUUGGCACAGGGCUAUUGGCGUAGCUAGCACCCCCAAAAUUUUCAUCAACGCAUCGCUUAUCACCCCCUUUCAUCCAUCAGCAAUCAUCUUUGCCAUCAUCUCAUCAACAUAAACCAUCAAGAAACAGGUGUUACAAACAAAUACGCUAAGUUGUAAUACCGUGUACCGCAGUAGUGGUGUAGGGUAUUAAAAUAUGCCUAACGUGUCAUGCUAUGGUGUACCGUUAACGAGGCGACCUUAACAGAAUAACCAAAAGGGGAAGGCCAAGACUCGAUGGAAAGACCAAGUGAUGAAAGACAUCUCCAAACUAAGCGUCAAAGAAAAGAAAAGGAGCUCAAAAGAUCGAGGUGCUGGAAAAUCCAUUCUACACAGAAAAAAUAAAAAUCGAGUUCAAUCACGAAAUUAAUUGAUCCAAAUAUUUUUUAGUUGAAACUGCUUCAAUCACGAAAAUGAUAAUAUACAUCAAAGGUGAUAAAAAAUAUUUUUCUAAAUAAAAU
Molecule: long non-coding RNA, 958 nt
Organism: Stomoxys calcitrans (stable fly)
Lineage: Eukaryota; Metazoa; Arthropoda; Insecta; Diptera; Muscidae
Exons: 4
Source: RefSeq, a predicted model, not a curated record